RNAcentral lists this long non-coding RNA (254 nucleotides) under Elaeis guineensis (African oil palm). Its description in RNAcentral is "long non-coding RNA (EGUI_LNC069084)". Lineage: Eukaryota; Viridiplantae; Streptophyta; Magnoliopsida; Arecales; Arecaceae. The record is from RNAcentral.
CGAUGCCUCCCCGCAAAGCAUCCACCAGGCGGUCCACGACCUCUGCGGUCAGAUUUCAGGCUCUGGCCUCGCCUCCAAUUUCUCAGGCUCCUCCUCCUCUGGCAACGACGGUCGACAGGUUCAUCCGACGUCGGCCUAAAGGUAGGGAGAAUCGACCGAGGGCCCUGCCACGACUGGAGCCGCCAAGGAGGGAAGAACAACCUGGAGAUCGGCCUCCAAUCGGGAUCGUCUACACCAUCUCUGGAGGGCCCCAG